UACGAGUGCCCCAAGCGUUAUCCGGAAUUAUUGGGCGUAAAGAGCUCGUAGGCGGUUUGUCGCGUCUGCCGUGAAAGUCCGGGGCUCAACUCCGGAUCUGCGGUGGGUACGGGCAGACUAGAGUGAUGUAGGGGAGACUGGAAUUCCUGGUGUAGCGGUGAAAUGCGCAGAUAUCAGGAAGAACACCCGUGGCGAAGGCGGUUCUCUGGGACGGUACUGACGCUGAGACGCGAAAGCGUGGGGAGCGAACAGG
RNAcentral lists this ribosomal RNA (253 nucleotides) under uncultured bacterium. Its description in RNAcentral is "partial 16S ribosomal RNA". It matches the Rfam family "Bacterial small subunit ribosomal RNA", at positions 524 to 776 of the family's 1533-position model. The record is from RNAcentral.